CCUACGGGGUGCUGCAGUGGGGAAUAUUGGACAAUGGGCGAAAGCCUGAUCCAGCCAUGCCGCGUGUGUGAAGAAGGCCUUCGGGUUGUAAAGCACUUUCAGUGGGGAAGAAAGCCUUGGGGCUAAUACCCUCGAGGAAGGACAUCACCCACAGAAGAAGCACCGGCUAACUCCGUGCCAGCAGCCGCGGUAAUACGGAGGGUGCGAGCGUUAAUCGGAAUUACUGGGCGUAAAGCGCGCGUAGGCGGUCUGAUAAGCCGGUUGUGAAAGCCCCGGGCUCAACCUGGGAACGGCAUCCGGAACUGUCAGGCUAGAGUGCAGGAGAGGAAGGUAGAAUUCCCGGUGUAGCGGUGAAAUGCGUAGAGAUCGGGAGGAAUACCAGAGGCGAAGGCGGACUUCUGGACUGACACUGACGCUGAGGUGCGAAAGCGUGGGUAGCAAACAGGAUUAGAUACCCCAGUAGUC
Molecule: ribosomal RNA, 465 nt
Filed under: Vreelandella stevensii
Lineage: Bacteria; Pseudomonadati; Pseudomonadota; Gammaproteobacteria; Oceanospirillales; Halomonadaceae
Description: partial 16S ribosomal RNA
Rfam family: Bacterial small subunit ribosomal RNA
Source: RNAcentral